RNAcentral lists this ribosomal RNA (468 nucleotides) under uncultured bacterium. RNAcentral describes it as "partial 16S ribosomal RNA". It matches the Rfam family "Bacterial small subunit ribosomal RNA", at positions 28 to 507 of the family's 1533-position model. The record is from RNAcentral.
GACGAACGCUGGCGGCGGGCUUAACACAUGCAAGUCGAACGGAAAGGCCCUGCUUUUGUGGGGUGCUCGAGUGGCGAACGGGUGAGUAACACGUGUGUAACCUGCCCUUGACUUUGGGAUGACUUCAGGAAACUGGGGCUAAUAUCGGAUAGGAUCUCCUGCUGCAUGGUGGGGGUUGGAAAGUUUCGGCGGUUGGGGAUGGACUGGCGGCUUAUCAGCUUGUUGGUUGGGGAGGUGCUGACCAAGGCUUUGAAGGGUAGCCGGCCUGGGAGGGUGAACGGCCACAAUGGGACUGAGAUACGGACCAGACUCCUACGGGAGGCAGCAGUGGGAAGUAUUGCACAAUGGGCGGGAGCCUGAUGCAGCAACGCCGCGUGCGGGAAGACGGCCUUCGGGUUGUAAACCGCUUUCGCCUGUGACGAAGCGUGAGUGACGGUAAUGGGUAAAGAAGCACCGGCUAACUACGUG